UUUUUUUUUUUUUUUUUUGUCUUUUGUCUUUUUAGGGCUGCACCCAUGGAAUACGGAGGUUUUCAGUCUACGGGUUUAAUUGGAGCUGUUGCUGCCAGCCUACGCCAGAGCCACAGCAAUGUCAGAUCCAAGCCGCUUCUGCAGCCUACACCACAGCUCACAGCAACACCGGAUCCUUAACCCACUGAGUGAGGCCAGGGAUCGAACCAGCAACCUCAUGGUUCCUAGUUGGAUUUGUUUCCCUUGUGCCAAGACGGGAACUCCCAUGCUUACAUAUUUCUUAUGUCAGCUUUUCCACUAUAACAGCAGAAUUAGGUAGUUGUAACAUAGAAAAACUUAUGACUCACAAAGCUGAGAAUAUUUGGCUUUUUUCAGAAAAGUUUACUGAGUCUUGAAAUAAGGCAACUACAACCUUCUUCACUUUGGAUGUUCCACGUCUCUUAUUUCAUCCUUAUAUAGUUUUUAUGGGUAGUAAUGUCACUCUUUUGAGUGAUUUUGCACCAAGUACAACUGUCUUUUCACUCAUUUUUCUAAAGCCAUAACUCCAUUUCUUUCAUUGAGCUUUUGAACCCACAGACAUUUUUUUUUAAUUUAGUUUCAUUAAAUUUGAUUUUAUGGGAGUCAACCACAUUUCAGUCUUUAAAUAUCUUAGUGAAUAUUUAUUCUGUCUUCCAACAUGCUCAACCUUUCUCCAGGUUAGAUUAAUGCACAAAUCUGAAAAAAAAAAAAAAAAGAUUGCAAUGUCUUCCAUGAAGUGAUCUCAUAAGUGUGGAGAAGAGAACCAUAUAACAAAACACUAGAAAUUUCCUGCUAUUUUGAAUCCACAUCUCUUAGUUAUUAAAGCAGUCUUAUCAGUAACCCCUUCCCCCCCAUUUUGGCCAACUUUAGUUCCCAAGGUCAUUAUAUUUCAAUAAUGCAUUCAUUUAUUCAGCAUAUGUGUAUUGAAUCCCUAUUAUGUCCCAGGCUUGGUGCUGAGGAGACAAUGGUGAAGAGAUUACACAGAUAAUGCUGCCUGUUAGAACAUUCAUCCUAGUUAAUUCAAUAAGCAAGUAAUCAUUCUCAAAUCAUGUGAUUAAAAGUUAUAAUGCAUACAAGUGCCUUAAGUUAUUAGACAUGUAUGCAAUUCAUCACUAAAAUCUACCUUGACUCCUUAAACAGUGUCUUUGAUAGUCCUAGGAUAAAGGGAGCUGAGGGUAGGCUAAUGUGAUGCAUUCUUCUUGGUAAAUCAAUGCUGGUGCCUAGUGAUUGGUGUUUCCCUGCAGUAUGAGUUUCAACCUUCAGUGUCUUUACAAAUCACUUGGGGGAUCUGUGAAAAUGUAGGCUCUGGUUCAGUAGAUCUGGGUUGGAGCCUCAGCUUCAGCAUUACUAACAAGCUCUGAAGAACGGCAUGCUGCUGCUCUCUCACCUCACUCGGAAUAACAAGACCUCACCAGACACUCACCACCCAGAUCUUUGAUGAUCAGUUCCUGCCCUAGAAGGGCAUGUCAUUUUAGAGAAAUAUUAUAGAAAUUUUUGAGCAAAGGCAAGUAGCCUAGUAGAAACCAUAGCCCCAGAGUCAGACAGGUGUGAAUUUAUACACAGACAUGCACUUAACAAUUGUGUGAUCUCGACCUGUGUCCUCUGCUCCCUGCACCUCAAUUUCCUCAUCAGUGAAAAUGGAAAUAAUAUUUUUUGAGGGAAUAAUAUAUCCUCCAUUUUGCUGUGGCCUUGUUGGGAAGAAUAACCCUGAAACACAGCAGACAUUAAACAAAUAAUAGUUUUUCUUAUGUUCAUCAAAAGAGUGAUAUAAACAGAGACAUGCUUUAAGACAAUUGAUUGGAGAACAAGAUGUAGUUUGAUUUUUUAAUGGUGAGAAACUGGAGUACUUGAAUGAAUCAGACAUUGCUUCAGUUUAACCAAUAUUUAAUGAGCCUGUUCUCUGUGUUAGAAACUGUGAUAAAUGCUGGGGGUAUGAGGCUGAUUUAGGUACAGUUUUCAAAGAGUUUGGCAAAUAGACAUUAGAUUUGGAGACAUUUGAUAAACCUGGGUCCAUGGACAAUUUACAUCCCAGAAAAGUAGCACUCAUGAUAGGGAAGUGGAAAUAGGUUUGUUUCAUAUAUAUAUAUUACAGUGGUUAUGGUGAUGGGAUAGUAUUAUAAGAAAAAGAAAAGUGUUAACAGUAAUUCUGAGACCUCAAAACCUGAGAAUAGAGGUUUCAUUAACAGGAAUAAGCAAUGUGAAAGAAAAAUCAGGUAAGGGAGGCAUAAAAUUGAUAUUCCUUUUGCACAUAUUGAGUUGAAGAUUUCUUGGGUCAUCUCACUGUAGAUGAAUUCAAAGAUGUUUUGAAAUAGAAUCACCAUAGGUAGCAAUAUGUGUAACUGAAGCUCAUUUACAGAAUUCAGAGAAAACUAAUAUGGACUUUCCAGUUAUUUUUGUAACAACAUAAUUUGGAUCACAGGUUUGUGUAUCUACUAUGUGUUUGCAGAUAUAGAGAAAGGCAUGAAUGUUUAUGUUUGGUGUUUACCCUACAUUAGCAGUUUAAAAAAAAUUGCUACACUGUUUCUACUCGAUUAAUGACAGUCUGAAUUUGGAAGGCUUGAUAAGUUGUUUACAAGGAAGUUCAGAGGGAGAAAUCAGUACAUGUUUGCAGAAUAUUGUGAAAACAUUUUUCUCAGGUUGUGUUGCUGGAAAUGACAAUUAGUCAAUGUAGGGAAACUGAUAUAUCUUUAGACAAUAAGUCACAUUAAACGAACAUCCAGGCCAACACAGUUAAACUUCUGAGAGAAAAGAUGAAAAUAUGUUGAUAUAUAAAAAUGUUUCACACAAUUCUUACUGCUAGCUGUGAAUUCUCAUUAGAGUUCUCAGAAUAAGAUAAAAGAGAAGAUUUCAUAUUUACAUCAUAUGGACAAAUGUAUGAGGAAUGAGGAAAUGAGGGACUUUGAGACUCAGACUAAAAGAAAGGGUGUCUGAAAGUUUUCUAGAAACGGCCAUGGGAGGCCAGCACAGUGCUAGGAACUUUUGUGUUUGUGUUUUUUGGUUCUCCCCCACAAUGAUCCUGUGCAAUGAGUGGUAAUAUGUAAUAUCUUAUCUUGCAGAUGAGAUAUUACAAUAACAUAAAGUUAAAAUCAUUUGAUCAAGAUUAUUCAGGCACCAUAUGGAGCAUUUUUGGGUUGUCUUCCCACCAACCUCUUUUUCCUUUCCCUCUCAUAAUAGUUAUAAGUUCUGUUCAGUGAUGGAUGUGAUUUCAGAAAUACUGAAUUCGUUUCUAGCUUCAGAGGUGAAGCAUUUGAAUUAAACUAAGCCCAUCAGGGUGUAAUAUUAGAUGGAGAGCCUGGUUGAGGGACAAGCAUGCCAUCUCAGCUCCUCCAAUCCAGAGACUCUAAGAACUUGUACUGAAAACGAUGAGGCAAACAUCACUUUCUCACACUAUUUGUUUGAGUGGAAUGAUGCUGGCAGUCAUUUUACGAUCCAUUAGCUUUAAAGAGCAGUAAACAGGUAGAGAGAUUCAGGCAAAUCAGGUCCUUUGCUAAGCUGCUGGACCACGCCUUCCAGGUUUUGGGAACCUGAAGGAAUUACGAACUUUUCAAGUCCUUGGGACCAUAAUUAACCUUUGGUAUUUAAUCAAAUGUGAAGCUUCCUCUUCUAACAACAAACAUUCUAACUUCUAUAGAUGUCACCUAGGCCAACUUCCUUUUGCUUGAGAUAAGUGAUUAAGCAAUCCCACUCUUGGGCAUAUAUCCAGACAAAUCUUUCAUUGAAAAAGAUACAUGCACAUGAAUUUUCAUUGCAGCACUAUUCACAAUAGCUGAGACAUGGAAACAACCUAAAUGUCCAUUGAUGAAUGAAUGGAUUAGGAAGAGGUGGUACGUGUAUACAAUGGAAUACUACUCAGCCAUAAAAAAGGACACAAUAAUGCCAUUUGCAGUAACAUGCAUGGAGCUAGAGACUCUCAUACUGAGUGAAGUAAAUCACAAAGAGAAAGACACCAUAUGAUAUCACUUACAUGUGUAGUCCAAAAUAUGGCACAAAUGAUCUACCUACAAAACAGAAAAGAUCAUGGACAUGGAGGACAGACUCGUAUUUGCCAGAGGGCAGGGGGAGGGAGUGGGAUGAUUGGGAGUCUGGGGUUAGUAGAUGAAAACUCUUGCAUUUGGAGUGGAUGGACAAUGAGAUCCUGCUCUAUAGCAUGGGGAACUAUAUAUCUAAUCACUUGUGAUGGAACACAAUGGAGGAUAUUGUGAGAAAAAUAAUGCAUAUAUAUGUAUGACUGGGUCACUUUGCUGUACAGCAGACAUUGACAGAACAUUGUAAAUCAAUCAUAAUAAAAUAAAAAAAAAGAAUAAAGAAAACAGUUGUCCAAGACAGCAUAGCUAAUUCAAUAUGAAGUUCAAGCCUGGAGUUCAGGGUUCUGCAUGCAGCAUCUAGUGGAUCCUUCCAACACAACAAGCUGACUUACCAAGGUCACAGAGCAAUUAAAUAAAGCCUAAGAUUUCUAGAGUACUUAGGCGGUAUCACUUCUCAAAGAGCUAUGGUUAAAUACAAAUCACUUUGAAUAUAUUCAAGGAGAAAAAUAGCAAAUGAGAAAAAAUUCACCAUGUAAGAAACGUUUUUACUUUUUUGUUUGGAAACGAUUAAGAAUGUUUUGAAAAUUCUUUGAAGCAGGAUGCUUUGAUGUAUAUACUUUUUUGUAUUCCUUGCUGUGUCAAGCACUGCAUUGGUCAUAAUAGGUAUUCAAAUAAUUCUCAGUUUGAUAUCUGUCUUCCCUACCGGGUUUAUGUUGUGACAGCAGGAACCAUGACUGUGUACUUCAAACAUGCAUUUCCACUGCUUUUCACAGUGUUUGGUGUGUGGUAGAUUCUAAAUAAAUGUGUUAAUGAUAUUAAAUACUGUCAUCCUCUGUGCUUGCACCUAAGGUUCACCUCAGCAGGUAGUCUUAACUUGGCCCAUUUACAUAGUCUAUCUAGAGCAACACUGUCCAAAAGAAACACAAUAUAAAUCACACGUGUGAAGUAUGCAUAUAAUUUUUUUUGGCUACGCCCACAACAUACAGAACUUCCUGGUCCAGGGAUUGAGCCUGAGCCACGGCAGUAAAAAUCUGGAUCCUUAACCACUAGUCCACCAGAGAAUUCCUUCAUGCAUGUAAUUUUAAAUAUUCUAGUGGUCAAGUUAAAAAAAAAAAAACAUAAAUCAGUGAAGUUAAUUUUAAUCUAAUAUGCUUUAAAUAUUAUCACUUAACACAUAGCCAACAAAAAUAUUACUGAGAUGUGUUUUACAUUCUUUUGGUUUUGUGCCAAGUCUUCAAAAUCUAGUAUAUAUGUCAUCCUUACAACACAUCUUAGUUCAGAUUACCCACAUUUCAAGUCAUUAGUAACCACAUAUCGAUACAUAUAGAUUUACAUCAGACGGCUCAGAUUUAGACAUAAUUUAUGUCUAUGACAUGGUAUAAAAAUAAAGAUCUAAGAGUUGGAGUUCCCAUUGUGGCACAGUGGAAAUGAAUCUGACUAGGAACCGUGACGAUGCAGGUUCGAUCCCUGACUUUGCUCAGUGGGUUAAGGAUACAGCAUCGCUGUGAGCUGUGGUGUAGUGUCACAGAUGUGGCUCAGAUCCUGUGUUGCUGUGGCUGUAGUGUAGGCUGGAAGCUGUAGCUCUGAUUCA
This 5634-nucleotide long non-coding RNA is filed under the name Sus scrofa (pig). Its description in RNAcentral is "lncRNA (ENSSSCG00000054334.1)". The record is from RNAcentral. Lineage: Eukaryota; Metazoa; Chordata; Mammalia; Artiodactyla; Suidae.